GAGGAAAGUCCGGGCUCCAUAGGGUGAGGUGCCAGGUAACGCCUGGGGGGCGCGAGCCCACGGAAAGUGCAACAGAGAGCAGACCGCCGAUGUCGGCUAUUCGCCGGCAGGUAAGGGUGAAACGGUGCGGUAAGAGCGCACCGCGUCGGUGGCAACAUGCGACGGCUAGGUAAACCCCGCCUGGAGCAAGACCAAAUAGGGAAGUACGCGAACCCAUGGUUUGCGCCUGCGGCCCGCAGGAACUUCCGGGUAUGUCGCUGGAGAUGAGCGGUGACGCGCAUCCUACAUGGAUGGUUGCCCACGACAGAACCCGGCUUA
This 318-nucleotide RNase P RNA is filed under the name unidentified bacterium SM-A53. RNAcentral describes it as "partial RNAase P". It matches the Rfam family "Bacterial RNase P class A", at positions 43 to 351 of the family's 367-position model. From Rfam's summary of the family: Ribonuclease P (RNase P) is a ubiquitous endoribonuclease, found in archaea, bacteria and eukarya as well as chloroplasts and mitochondria. The record is from RNAcentral.